RNAcentral lists this ribosomal RNA (495 nucleotides) under uncultured bacterium. RNAcentral describes it as "partial 16S ribosomal RNA". It matches the Rfam family "Bacterial small subunit ribosomal RNA", at positions 30 to 507 of the family's 1533-position model. The record is from RNAcentral.
UGAACGCUGGCGGCGUGCCUAAUACAUGCAAGUCGAGCGAACGGACGAGAAGCUUGCUUCUCUGAUGUUAGCGGCGGACGGGUGAGUAACACGUGGAUAACCUACCUAUAAGACUGGGAUAACUUCGGGAAACCGUAGCUAAUACCGGAUAAUAUUUUGAACCGCAUGGUUCAAAAGUGAAAGACGGUCUUGCUGUCACUUAUAGAUGGAUCCGCGCUGCAUUAGCUAGUUGGUAAGGUAACGGCUUACCAAGGCAACGAUGCAUAGCCGACCUGAGAGGGUGAUCGGCCACACUGGAACUGAGACACGGUCCAGACUCCUACGGGAGGCAGCAGUAGGGAAUCUUCCGCAAUGGGCGAAAGCCUGACGGAGCAACGCCGCGUGAGUGAUGAAGGUCUUCGGAUCGUAAAACUCUGUUAUUAGGGAAGAACAUAUGUGUAAGUAACUGUGCACAUCUUGACGGUACCUAAUCAGAAGGCCACGGCUAACUACGUG